RNAcentral lists this long non-coding RNA (270 nucleotides) under Elaeis guineensis (African oil palm). RNAcentral's name for it is "long non-coding RNA (EGUI_LNC055191)". The record is from RNAcentral. Lineage: Eukaryota; Viridiplantae; Streptophyta; Magnoliopsida; Arecales; Arecaceae.
UCUGGUCGUAGGGUACCAUUGCUAGAUGGUCACUUCGAUUAGUACAGGAAUUGGUUCCUGUGCUACCGGCUUAGGUUCGAACCUGCGAGGUCACACACAUUAGAGGUUUCUUUCUGAUCUGAUGGCUGAUUAUGAGUCUUAUGUGUCUGAGACUCUAUGAUUGAGAAUUAAGAUUCUCUGAUCAUGAGUUCCACAUAUUUUGGGUACCGGGGUCAAAAUUUUUAAUUUCAAAUUUUGAAUUUGAAAUUUGAACUCUUUGAUCAGGGUUUC